RNAcentral lists this non-coding RNA (28 nucleotides) under Homo sapiens (human). Lineage: Eukaryota; Metazoa; Chordata; Mammalia; Primates; Hominidae. The record is from RNAcentral.
UAAUCCACGUCGGAGCCGGCAGGUGCUU